This 243-nucleotide ribosomal RNA is filed under the name uncultured Leptolinea sp. RNAcentral describes it as "partial 16S ribosomal RNA". It matches the Rfam family "Bacterial small subunit ribosomal RNA", at positions 1139 to 1382 of the family's 1533-position model. Lineage: Bacteria; Bacillati; Chloroflexota; Anaerolineae; Anaerolineales; Anaerolineaceae. The record is from RNAcentral.
UCACACGGGACUGCCGGUCUAAGCGGAGGAAGGUGGGAUGAUGUCAAGUCAGCAUGGCCUUUAUAUCCUGGGCUACACACACGCUACAAUGGCCAACACAAUAGGUUGCUAAGCCGCGAGGUGGCGCCAAUCCAUAAAGUUGGUCUCAGUUCAGAUUGUAGGCUGCAACCCGCCUGCAUGAAGAUGGAGUUGCUAGUAACCGCAGGUCAGCUAUACUGCGGUGAAUACCGGUUCCCGGGGCUU